UAAAAAAAGGUAAGCUACUAAGAGCGAAUGGUGGAUGCCUUGACUGGUAAAGGCGAUGAAGGACGUACUAGACUGCGAUAAGCUACGGGGAGCUGUCAAGAAGCUUUGAUCCGUAGAUUUCCGAAUGGGGCAACCCAAUGUAUAGAGAUAUACAUUACCUAUAUAGGAGCGAACGAGGGGAAUUGAAACAUCUUAGUACCCUCAGGAAAAGAAAUCAAUAGAGAUUGCGUCAGUAGCGGCGAGCGAAAGCGCAAGAGGGCAAACCCAGUGCUUGCACUGGGGGUUGUAGGACUGCAAUGUGCAAGAGCUGAGUUUAGCAGAACAUUCUGGAAAGUAUAGCCAUAGAGGGUGAUAGUCCCGUAUGCGAAAAACAAAGCUUAGCUAGCAGUAUCCUGAGUAGGGCGGGACACGAGGAAUCCUGUCUGAAUCCGGGUCGACCACGAUCCAACCCUAAAUACUAAUACCAGAUCGAUAGUGCACAAGUACCGUGAGGGAAAGGUGAAAAGAACUGAGGUGAUCAGAGUGAAAUAGAACCUGAAACCAUUUGCUUACAAUCAUUCAGAGCACUAUGUAGCAAUACAGUGUGAUGGACUGCCUUUUGCAUAAUGAGCCUGCGAGUUGUGGUGUCUGGCAAGGUUAAGCAAACGCGAAGCCGUAGCGAAAGCGAGUCUGAAUAGGGCGCUUAGUCAGAUGCUGCAGACCCGAAACGAAGUGAUCUAUCCAUGAGCAAGUUGAAGCUAGUGUAAGAACUAGUGGAGGACUGAACCCAUAGGCGUUGAAAAGCCCCGGGAUGACUUGUGGAUAGGGGUGAAAGGCCAAUCAAACUUCGUGAUAGCUGGUUCUCUCCGAAAUAUAUUUAGGUAUAGCGUUGUGUCGUAAUAUAAGGGGGUAGAGCACUGAAUGGGCUAGGGCAUACACCAAUGUACCAAACCCUAUCAAACUCCGAAUACCUUAUAUGUAAUCACAGCAGUCAGGCGGCGAGUGAUAAAAUCCGUCGUCAAGAGGGAAACAACCCAGACUACCAGCUAAGGUCCCUAAAUCUUACUUAAGUGGAAAACGAUGUGAAGUUACUUAAACAACCAGGAGGUUGGCUUAGAAGCAGCCAUCCUUUAAAGAAAGCGUAAUAGCUCACUGGUCUAGUGAUUUUGCGCGGAAAAUAUAACGGGGCUAAAGUAAGUACCGAAGCUGUAGACUUGCACACAACUUAGAUUAUUUAAGUUUAGAAUAUGAGAAACUAAGUUAUAUGUUUAGUUAUAUUUUUACUGAUUUUUAUAGAGUAAAGAUAGAAAUAAAACUUAGUAAAAUCAGUAAAAAUAUUCUUAGGCUAAAGUUAAGUAGUUUAAGUUGUGUGCAAGUGGUAGGAGAGCGUUCUAUUUGCGUCGAAGGUAUACCGGUAAGGAGUGCUGGAGCGAAUAGAAGUGAGCAUGCAGGCAUGAGUAGCGAUAAUUAAUGUGAGAAUCAUUAACGCCGUAAACCCAAGGUUUCCUACGCGAUGCUCGUCAUCGUAGGGUUAGUCGGGUCCUAAGUCGAGUCCGAAAGGGGUAGACGAUGGCAAAUUGGUUAAUAUUCCAAUACCAACAUUAGUGUGCGAUGGAAGGACGCUUAGGGCUAAGGGGGCUAGCGGAUGGAAGUGCUAGUCUAAGGUUGUAGGAGGUUAUACAGGCAAAUCCGUAUAACAAUACUCCGAGAACUGAAAGGCUUUUUGAAGUCUUCGGAUGGAUAGAAGAACCCCUGAUGCCGUCGAGCCAAGAAAAGUUUCUAAGUUUAGCUAAUGUUGCCCGUACCGUAAACCGACACAGGUGGGUGGGAUGAGUAUUCUAAGGCGCGUGGAAGAACUCUCUUUAAGGAACUCUGCAAAAUAGCACCGUAUCUUCGGUAUAAGGUGUGGUUAGCUUCGUACUAGGAUUUACUCCGAAAGCGAAGAAAC
This 1927-nucleotide ribosomal RNA is filed under the name Campylobacter jejuni. Its description in RNAcentral is "partial 23S ribosomal RNA". It matches the Rfam family "Bacterial large subunit ribosomal RNA", at positions 1 to 1791 of the family's 2925-position model. Lineage: Bacteria; Pseudomonadati; Campylobacterota; Epsilonproteobacteria; Campylobacterales; Campylobacteraceae. The record is from RNAcentral.